GGGGAAUUAGCUCAGCUGGGAGAGCACCUGCUUUGCAAGCAGGUGGUCAUCGGUUCGAACCCGAUAUUCUCCA
This 73-nucleotide transfer RNA is filed under the name Oenococcus oeni. Its description in RNAcentral is "tRNA-Ala". It matches the Rfam family "tRNA". From Rfam's summary of the family: Transfer RNA (tRNA) molecules are approximately 80 nucleotides in length. Their secondary structure includes four short double-helical elements and three loops (D, anti-codon, and T loops). The record is from RNAcentral. Lineage: Bacteria; Bacillati; Bacillota; Bacilli; Lactobacillales; Lactobacillaceae.